CGUAACGCGUAUGCAAUCUACCUUUUACAGAGGGAUAGCCCAGAGAAAUUUGGAUUAAUACCUCAUAGUAUAUAGACCUGGCAUCAGGAUUAUAUUAAAGUCACAACGGUAAAAGAUGAGCAUGCGUCCCAUUAGCUAGUUGGUAAGGUAACGGCUUACCAAGGCUACGAUGGGUAGGGGUCCUGAGAGGGAGAUCCCCCACACUGGUACUGAGACACGGACCAG
RNAcentral lists this ribosomal RNA (225 nucleotides) under uncultured bacterium. RNAcentral's name for it is "partial 16S ribosomal RNA". It matches the Rfam family "Bacterial small subunit ribosomal RNA", at positions 109 to 334 of the family's 1533-position model. The record is from RNAcentral.